UUAAGCGACUAAGCGUACACGGUGGAUGCCCUGGCAGUCAGAGGCGAUGAAGGACGUGCUAAUCUGCGAAAAGCGUCGGUAAGGUGAUAUGAACCGUUAUAACCGGCGAUGUCCGAAUGGGGAAACCCAGUGCAAUUCGUUGCACUAUCGUUAACUGAAUACAUAGGUUAACGAGGCGAACCGGGGGAACUGAAACAUCUAAGUACCCCGAGGAAAAGAAAUCAACCGAGAUUCCCCCAGUAGCGGCGAGCGAACGGGGAGCAGCCCAGAGUCUGAAUCAGCUUGUGUGUUAGUGGAACGGUCUGGAAAGUCCGACGGUACAGGGUGAUAGUCCCGUACACCAAAAUGCACAGGCUGUGAACUCGAAGAGUAGGGCGGGACACGUGGUAUCCUGUCUGAAUAUGGGGGGACCAUCCUCCAAGGCUAAAUACUCCUGACUGACCGAUAGUGAACCAGUACCGUGAGGGAAAGGCGAAAAGAACCCCGGCGAGGGGAGUGAAAAAGAACCUGAAACCGUGUACGUACAAGCAGUGGGAGCACCUUCGGGUGUGACUGCGUACCUUUUGUAUAAUGGGUCAGCGACUUAUAUUCUGUAGCAAGGUUAACCGUAUAGGGGAGCCGCAGGGAAACCGAGUCUUAACUGGGCGUUAAGUUGCAGGGUAUAGACCCGAAACCCGGUGAUCUAGCCAUGGGCAGGUUGAAGGUUGGGUAACACUAACUGGAGGACCGAACCGACUAAUGUUGAAAAAUUAGCGGAUGACUUGUGGCUGGGGGUGAAAGGCCAAUCAAACCGGGAGAUAGCUGGUUCUCCCCGAAAGCUAUUUAGGUAGCGCCUCGUGAAUUCAUCUUCGGGGGUAGAGCACUGUUUCGGCUAGGGGGUCAUCCCGACUUACCAACCCGAUGCAAACUACGAAUACCGAAGAAUGUUAUCACGGGAGACACACGGCGGGUGCUAACGUCCGUCGUGAAGAGGGAAACAACCCAGACCGCCAGCUAAGGUCCCAAAGUCAUGGUUAAGUGGGAAACGAUGUGGGAAGGCACAGACAGCCAGGAUGUUGGCUUAGAAGCAGCCAUCAUUUAAAGAAAGCGUAAUAGCUCACUGGUCGAGUCGGCCUGCGCGGAAGAUGUAACGGGGCUAAACCAUGCACCGAAGCUGCGGCAGCGACACUAUGUGUUGUUGGGUAGGGGAGCGUUCUGUAAGCCUGCGAAGGUGACCUGUGAGGGUUGCUGGAGGUAUCAGAAGUGCGAAUGCUGACAUAAGUAACGAUAAAGCGGGUGAAAAGCCCGCUCGCCGGAAGACCAAGGGUUCCUGUCCAACGUUAAUCGGGGCAGGGUGAGUCGACCCCUAAGGCGAGGCCGAAAGGCGUAGUCGAUGGGAAACAGGUUAAUAUUCCUGUACUUGGUGUUACUGCGAAGGGGGGACGGAGAAGGCUAUGUUAGCCGGGCGACGGUUGUCCCGGUUUAAGCAUGUAGGCUGGUUAUCCAGGCAAAUCCGGAUAAUCAAGGCUGAGGUGUGAUGACGAGGCACUACGGUGCUGAAGUAACAAAUGCCCUGCUUCCAGGAAAAGCCUCUAAGCAUCAGGUAACAUUAAAUCGUACCCCAAACCGACACAGGUGGUCAGGUAGAGAAUACCAAGGCGCUUGAGAGAACUCGGGUGAAGGAACUAGGCAAAAUGGUGCCGUAACUUCGGGAGAAGGCACGCUGGUGUGUAGGUGAAGUCCCUGCGGAUGGAGCUGAGACCAGUCGAAGAUACCAGCUGGCUGCAACUGUUUAUUAAAAACACAGCACUGUGCAAACACGAAAGUGGACGUAUACGGUGUGACGCCUGCCCGGUGCCGGAAGGUUAAUUGAUGGGGUUAUCCGUAAGGAGAAGCUCUUGAUCGAAGCCCCGGUAAACGGCGGCCGUAACUAUAACGGUCCUAAGGUAGCGAAAUUCCUUGUCGGGUAAGUUCCGACCUGCACGAAUGGCGUAAUGAUGGCCAGGCUGUCUCCACCCGAGACUCAGUGAAAUUGAACUCGCUGUGAAGAUGCAGUGUACCCGCGGCAAGACGGAAAGACCCCGUGAACCUUUACUAUAGCUUGACACUGAACAUUGAGCCUUGAUGUGUAGGAUAGGUGGGAGGCUUUGAAGCGUGGACGCCAGUCUGCGUGGAGCCAACCUUGAAAUACCACCCUUUAAUGUUUGAUGUUCUAACGUUGGCCCCUGACCGGGGUUGCGGACAGUGUCUGGUGGGUAGUUUGACUGGGGCGGUCUCCUCCCAAAGCGUAACGGAGGAGCACGAAGGUUAGCUAAUCCUGGUCGGACAUCAGGAGGUUAGUGCAAUGGCAUAAGCUGGCUUGACUGCGAGCGUGACGGCGCGAGCAGGUGCGAAAGCAGGUCAUAGUGAUCCGGUGGUUCUGAAUGGAAGGGCCAUCGCUCAACGGAUAAAAGGUACUCCGGGGAUAACAGGCUGAUACCGCCCAAGAGUUCAUAUCGACGGCGGUGUUUGGCACCUCGAUGUCGGCUCAUCACAUCCUGGGGCUGAAGUAGGUCCCAAGGGUAUGGCUGUUCGCCAUUUAAAGUGGUACGCGAGCUGGGUUUAGAACGUCGUGAGACAGUUCGGUCCCUAUCUGCCGUGGGCGCUGGAGAAUUGAGGGGGGCUGCUCCUAGUACGAGAGGACCGGAGUGGACGCAUCACUGGUGUUCGGGUUGUCAUGCCAAUGGCACUGCCCGGUAGCUAAAUGCGGAAGAGAUAAGUGCUGAAAGCAUCUAAGCACGAAACUUGCCCCGAGAUGAGUUCUCCCUGAGACUUUAAGUCUCCUGAAGGAACGUUGAAGACGACGACGUUGAUAGGCCGGGUGUGUAAGCGCAGCGAUGCGUUGAGCUAACCGGUACUAAUGAACCGUGAGGCUUAACCUU
This 2900-nucleotide ribosomal RNA is filed under the name Klebsiella pneumoniae. RNAcentral describes it as "bacterial LSU rRNA". It matches the Rfam family "Bacterial large subunit ribosomal RNA". Lineage: Bacteria; Pseudomonadati; Pseudomonadota; Gammaproteobacteria; Enterobacterales; Enterobacteriaceae. The record is from RNAcentral.